This 468-nucleotide ribosomal RNA is filed under the name uncultured bacterium. RNAcentral's name for it is "partial 16S ribosomal RNA". It matches the Rfam family "Bacterial small subunit ribosomal RNA", at positions 28 to 507 of the family's 1533-position model. The record is from RNAcentral.
GACGAACGCUGGCGGCGUGCUUAACACAUGCAAGUCGAACGGAAAGGCCCUGCUUUUGUGGGGUGCUCGAGUGGCGAACGGGUGAGUAACACGUGAGUAACCUGCCCUUGACUUUGGGAUAACUUCACGAAACUGGGGCUAAUACCGGAUAGGAGCUCCUGCUGCAUGUUGGGGGUUGGAAAGUUUCGGCGGUUGGGGAUGGACUCGCGGCUUAUCAGCUUGUUGGUGGGGUAGUGGCUUACCAAGCUUGUGACGGGUAGCCGGCCUGGGAGGGGUGACGGCGACAAUGGGACUGAGAUACGGCCCAGACGGGUACGGGAGGCAGUAGUGGGGAAUAUUACACAACGGGCGGAAGCGUGAUACAGCAACGCCGCGUGCGGGAUGACGGCUUUCGGGUUGUAAACCGCUUUGGCCUGAAACGAAGCGUGAGUGACGGUAAUGGGUAAAGAAGCACCGGCUAACUACGUG